Spodoptera frugiperda (fall armyworm) is the source of this 3460-nucleotide RNA transcript. It is a transcript of the gene named leucine-rich repeat-containing protein 15, with no coding region annotated. The record is from RefSeq and is a predicted model, not a curated record. The transcript has 15 exons. NCBI's taxonomy places the organism in Eukaryota, Metazoa, Arthropoda, Insecta, Lepidoptera, Noctuidae.
CUAUACAUAUAAUAAAAUCGUAGAAAAGUGCUGUCUGUACAUUGAAAAUAAAAAUAAAAAAAAUAGCAGGGGUUAUUGUUAUGUUGAUGUCGAACCCAAAAAUGUAAUUAACUUUUUUUUUGUCUGUUUGUCUGUUUGUCUGUUUGUCUGUUUGUCUGUUUGUCUGUUCGUCUGUGCGCGCUAAUCUCAGAAACGGCUGAUCCGAGUUGGAUGCGGUUUUCACGAAUAUAUUGUGGGAUGCUUAAAUUUACAUUUAGUGUUUGUUUCAUGUCAAUCGGUUCAUAAAUAAAAAAGUUAUGUCAAAUUAAAAAAUCACGUCGAACAUUCUAUGCUUAUACCAUUAAUCUCCGCAACUAUUUGACGGAUUUGGUUGAAAUUUGGUACAGAUAUAGUUUAGAACCUUAGAAAGGACAUAGAUAUAUUUUUAUUUCAAAAAUCAAAAAAUAAAAAUAAGAAAUAAAUUAUUUAUAAAUAAUUCUAUGUCGAUCGUUACACGACUUCGGUUCAUGUUAUUGUUUCAAUUUAUCGAAAAAAAGUAAAUAAAUAGUAAAAAGGUAUGAAAAAAAUAAUAUCAAUAUAAUAAAACAUUUAGUACAAAGAAAAUGCUCUAACGGAGUAUAGAUAAUUCUAUGUCGAUCGUUACACGACUUCGGUUCAUGUUAUUGUUUUAAUUCAUCGAAAAAAGUAAAUAAAUAGUAAAAAGGUAUGAAAAAAAUAAUAUCAAUAUAAUUAAACUUUUAGUACAAAGAAAAUGCCCGAACGGAGUAUAAAUAAAUAAUCCAAGUUGUCUUUCGAUUUCGGAUCGAAAUAGAUCGCGCUAUGGUUUCGUUACAUUCAUUUGGUUGGGUAUCGGCCGAGCGCUUCGGUACUAUCGUAGAAAAAGUGUAUUAUCAGUCGUAUGAUUAUUUGUCUGUAGUGGUCCUGCUGUUUCGUAUAUUCUAAAUUGGUUUCGUUGUAUUUGUCAAUUAAUAAGUUUAUUUGUUGGGUUUUCCUGGUUUUUUGGUUAAACUAUUUAACGUAGGUUUAGUUUGAUAUCGAUUAUUAGUAGUUACUGUAGUUAGUUUUUUUAAUAAAAUUGUAAGUCUAAUUUUUUUUUUAAUUAGAUUAGAUUUAAGUCGUUUCUUUUAAAUUAUUUAGUUUAAGCUUGGUUAUUAUAGCAUAGAGGAUAGGUUGUAAUAUAGUUUCUUUUUUAAUUGUUAUAAAUUCGUAAUUCGUAGCUUUCUUUAGUUUUAAGUUAGUUUAAGUCCAUUUUUAAACUAUUUUUUCAAUGCCCUAAGUGAGUAUACAUCUAUUAAAUUCAAACGCAGAGCUCAUUAUGUUGAUUUUUGAAGAGUUCCCUGGAAUAUCUUCCACAUCUCAUUUUUGAAGAGAUCCCGCGAGAUCGGGAACUAUGUGGUUAAAACCAAAAAUUUGCCGGAAGUCACUAUUCCACGCGAACGAAGUCGCGGGCAAAAGCUAGUAAAAAAAUAUAUAUUGUAAAAACAAGUUGGUCACGAUCCAUCAUUGUUGUUAGUCUUUAAUUACUAUUAAUUCUAUUGACAAAAUAUAAAAUGGCGAGAAAGAAAGUUGAGUUAUUCAUAGAAAUUCACAAUGAAAAGGAUUUCCAUCUAAUAUUGAAGACGAACAAGAAAUUUCUUAUUUGUGCAGAAAUAUUCAGUAACGCUUUUGGUCCCUGUUCAGCACUCGAUAGAUUGUUCAGUACUAUCAAAAUGAACUGGUCUGAUGGCAAGCUUAUAUUGCUAAAGGUACCAGCGGACGAGAUAGAAGUACUGCAAAGAUUCAGACAUCAGAGUGAACCAGUCUACAUGUUUAUAUCGAACGCCAGAGUGACGAAGGUGUUCAGAGGAGUGGAUCCUAUCACUUUUGCUGAAGUGGCCAAGUAUGAGCUGUACUGCUUCCAGCGAUGGAAGGAUGGGCAUCCCGUAGACCGGCCCCUAUACCAACUUGAUGAGGUUACCCCUGAUGAAAUGGAGUGGAUGGCAACAAGAAAGUUAGAAAAGGAUCAAGAAUCUUCAGCUCUGAAUGCUCGCCGUUCCGCUCGGCAAGCAAUACGCAAGCACCACCGCGCCGAGCUGAUGGUGCCAUUCCUGACUGACAUAAACUUCGUAAUCUUCUGGCCGCAUUGCUUCCACGCCCAUCCAGAACUUUAUGAACAGUGGGAUGCGAACAAUAUCAUAAUGAUUGGCCGAGAAGAGAUAGACAUAUCAGAAGAUAAAGUAGCAGAUAUAUUCUACGCGGGCGAUGCUCCCUUGAAUGAAGCGUCGCUGCACAAGCUCAAGUCGGGACCAGUUCUUGCUAUCUGCUUUCGAUUGCUGAAUGCGGACGUAAAUUUUGUGUCUUUAGUUCGUCGCAUCCUCUACGAAGAAGUACCACCGUAUGAUGAGACGCAGGAUAGUCAAUCCCUGAGGUCCUUGAAAACUGCUUUCGACCGUUAUAAAACUUACAGUCCAUUUAAGGAAGACGUCUGGAGACAGCGCAGGGAAGAGGAGGAGCAAAGAAGGCAAGAAGAAAAAAAGCGUCAAGCUAGAUUUUUGUCAGAGACGCGUCGCUUAGCUAGAGAAGCUGCUCUCGAGGCUACGGAAGCAAAGAAAAAAGAGAAGGAACAGAGAAAAUUGGAACUCUUGAAAACUGGAAACCUUGAAGCCCUAGCGGCGUUGGAUACAAAGUCUUGUGACUACUUACCUGCAGCGGUAUCGAGGGUAUCAUUGAUUUUCCAAGAAGAUUUAGAAGAGGAGGAGGAAGAAUUCGUAAUAGAUGAGAAUGAGUAUUUUCCACCGGCUGGACUACUCAUACCAGGGUUCUAUGCUCCGCCCAAUGACAUCGCGAAGGCAAACGGAUUAGCUGUACUCUUUCCGAAGUUAGUUCUAGAACGAGUGACUCCACAUCCAGAGUUCUUACCUCAACAUGUACUCGCCCUAUUGGAGAUCAACAAACGACACAAAGCGAUUGAGGCCAUAGCGCCUUUUAAACAUGCUAUUAUUAAUAUGGGUAUAUUUGAGGCAUCGUCGCCAUACCAUUCCGUUCACAUUGCAUACACAGUCAAGCAAUUUGAUACACUAGAUAGCACUUCUUUGAAUUUGGACAUUAUGCGGCUGGCUUUCAUGCUGUCCAUGGAGGUGGAUGUGCCAUUGCUCCAUCUGAUGGAUUUGAACCCGCUGCAUGUCAGUCGCGACUGUUCGGCUGGAGAGGAGGAGUGCGCUGCCAUGUUCCCUGUUAAUUACGGGGAUGAUUAUGAUCAGUUCGAAGACUUCAAUUAGGUAUUAGUUUUAGAUUAUGGAGUUUUUAAGGCCGAGACACAGUAUGGCUAAAGUGUCCAUACCUGUGUUGUUGGUGUUGUCGGGAGCGGUGCUGUCUUCCUGCUACUGUCCGCCUGAUAAGUUCAAGAACAUCAGCCACUGCGCCUUCCACAUCCACUGCUAUGGCGACAUCCGCGGCGUCCAACUCCCCAACGAAUGCCGUG